UGCUGGUUCCCUUGCAACGCUUUUAUUGUGAACUCCGUCAGAACUGGAAGGUAGCAGCGGUAGCAGUGUAUGUGGGUGCCGAGGUGUAGCUAGUGAGU
RNAcentral lists this signal recognition particle RNA (98 nucleotides) under Thiotrichales bacterium. Its description in RNAcentral is "signal recognition particle sRNA small type". It matches the Rfam family "Bacterial small signal recognition particle RNA". From Rfam's summary of the family: The signal recognition particle (SRP) is a universally conserved ribonucleoprotein involved in the co-translational targeting of proteins to membranes. Archaeal SRP consists of a 7S RNA and homologues of the eukaryotic SRP19 and SRP54 proteins. Lineage: Bacteria; Pseudomonadati; Pseudomonadota; Gammaproteobacteria; Thiotrichales. The record is from RNAcentral.